GACGAACGCUGGCGGCGUGCUUAACACAUGCAAGUCGAACGGAAAGGCCCGGCUUUUGCGGGGUGCUCGAUUGGCGAACGGGGGAGUAACACGUGAGUAACCUGCCCUUGACUUUGGGAUAACUUCAGGAAACUGGGGCUAAUACCGGAUAGGAGCUCCUGCUGCAUGGGGGGGGUUGGAAAGUUUCGGCGGUUGGGGAUGGACUCGCGGCUUAUCCGCUUGUUGGUGGGGUAGUGGAUUACCAAGGCUUUGACGGGUAGCCGGCCUGAGAGGGUGACCGGCCACAUUGGGACUGAGAGACGGCCCAGACUCCUACGGGAGGCAGCAGUGGGGAAUAUUGCACAGUGGGCGGACGCCUGAUGCAGCAACGCCGCGUGCGGGAUGACGGCCUUCGGGUUGUAAACCGCUUUCGCCUGUGACGAAGCGUGAGUGACGGUAAUGGGUAAAGAAGCACCGGCUAACUACGUG
This 468-nucleotide ribosomal RNA is filed under the name uncultured bacterium. RNAcentral describes it as "partial 16S ribosomal RNA". It matches the Rfam family "Bacterial small subunit ribosomal RNA", at positions 28 to 507 of the family's 1533-position model. The record is from RNAcentral.